GAAAGAAUUGCGCAACCGGGUCAUCCCGUAUGUGAAAGUGCAGUGGAGCCAUCACGAGGAGCGGGAGGCGACUUGGGAGCCUGAGACGGUGAUGAGGGAAGCCUAUCCCUAUUUGUUUGAUGCCUGAGCAGAGGUACGUUUCAGUUUCACGGACGAAACUUUUUAUAGAGGGGGAGGAUGUGAGAUCCCUAGUGUUCAGC
This 200-nucleotide long non-coding RNA is filed under the name Ananas comosus (pineapple). RNAcentral's name for it is "long non-coding RNA (ACOM_LNC033709)". The record is from RNAcentral. Lineage: Eukaryota; Viridiplantae; Streptophyta; Magnoliopsida; Poales; Bromeliaceae.